Molecule: ribosomal RNA, 253 nt
Filed under: uncultured bacterium
Lineage: Bacteria
Description: partial 16S ribosomal RNA
Rfam family: Bacterial small subunit ribosomal RNA
Source: RNAcentral
UACGUAGGGGGCUAGCGUUGUCCGGAAUCAUUGGGCGUAAAGAGCGUGUAGGCGGCCCGGUAAGUCCGCUGUGAAAGUCGGGGGCUCAACCCUCGAAAGCCGGUGGAUACUGUCGGGCUAGAGUGCGGAAGAGGCGAGUGGAAUUCCUGGUGUAGCGGUGAAAUGCGCAGAUAUCAGGAGGAACACCGAUUGCGAAGGCAGCUCGCUGGGACGUAACUGACGCUGAGACGCGAAAGCGUGGGGAGCGAACCGG